This 448-nucleotide ribosomal RNA is filed under the name uncultured Planctomycetota bacterium. RNAcentral describes it as "bacterial SSU rRNA". It matches the Rfam family "Bacterial small subunit ribosomal RNA", at positions 217 to 656 of the family's 1533-position model. Lineage: Bacteria; Pseudomonadati; Planctomycetota. The record is from RNAcentral.
GCUUAAAGAGGGGUUAAUGUCCCAUCAGCUAGUUGGUGGGGUAAUGGCCUACCAAGGCAAAGACGGGUAGCCGGCUUGAGAGGGUGGUCGGCCACACUGGGACUGAGACACUGCCCAGACUCCUACGGGAGGCUGCAGUCGAGAAUCUUUCGCAAUGCCCGAAAGGGUGACGAAGCGACGCCGCGUGUGGGAAGAAGGCCUUCGGGUUGUAAACCACUGUCGGGAGUUAGGAAAUGCAGGGGCGUUAAUAGCGCGCUUGCUUGACUAAGGCUCCAGAGGAAGCCACGGCUAACUCUGUGCCAGCAGCCGCGGUAAUACAGAGGCGGCAAGCGUUGUUCGGAAUUAUUGGGCGUAAAGAGCACGUAGGCGGCCUUGCAAGUCAGUUGUGAAAGCCUUCCGCUUAACGGAAGAACGGCAUCUGAUACUACAGGGCUUGAGUACGGGAGGG